AUACGGAGGGGGCUAGCGUUGUUCGGAAUUACUGGGCGUAAAGCGCGCGUAGGCGGACCAGUCAGUCAGGGGUGAAAUCCCGGGGCUCAACCCCGGAACUGCCUUUGAUACUGCUGGUCUUGAGUUCGAGAGAGGUGAGUGGAAUUCCGAGUGUAGAGGUGAAAUUCGUAGAUAUUCGGAGGAACACCAGUGGCGAAUGCGGCUCACUGGCUCGAUACUGACGCUGAGGUGCGAAAGCGUGGGGAGCAAACAGGAUUAGAAACCCCAGUAGUCC
This 274-nucleotide ribosomal RNA is filed under the name uncultured bacterium. Its description in RNAcentral is "partial 16S ribosomal RNA". It matches the Rfam family "Bacterial small subunit ribosomal RNA", at positions 523 to 796 of the family's 1533-position model. The record is from RNAcentral.